UGGCCUGGCAAUGCUCUUCCUCUUUCCCAUCCACUUGACUUCAGGAUAUAAGAAGAGAACUUGGAAUCAAUAUAAUUGAUGAACAGAAGGUGCAAUUGUCUAAGGGAUUGUGGCACGAGAUAGAUUUAUUGGCUUGGAUCAAGGAUUUGGGUCCAAUAGACCAAUACUGUGAAAAACUUACCAAACAGCAGAUUCUGUGAUCUUUUAUUUCAUUAUAGUUUCAAUCUUUAUCAUGUUGUUAAUCUUUUUUUUUCCCUUGAUUUUUUAUGUUCAACCUAUUGAUAUUUUUGCUUCUUCUUCUGCUGGUUAUUGGUUAAACACGUACCAGUACCAAUAUACUUGGUUCUCACCUUUUAGUUGGUUGUUAGUUAUUAUUUUUAUGCUGUCAUUAAUGGACUAACAUCUUUUCUUUUUGUAUUUUUAAGAUGUUAUAUAUAUUGAUUCUGUAUUAUUAUACUACCCUUUUUAUAAACUGUUUAGAGGAAUGGUUCUGGCUCUUAUCUUUUCCUUCCUAAAAUGUAUUUUGCUCCACCCUCAGCCCUCAGCUCUUGCUCAUUUUCAUGAUUAAUUGAACUUGAUUUUUACUGAAGAAGUUCCAUUGAUUUGUCAUGAAUGUCAUAGCCUUCAUAACAUUUUGUUGUUAAUGGUGAAAAGUUGUACAAUUUGCA
This is a non-coding RNA of Arachis ipaensis, 668 nucleotides long. Lineage: Eukaryota; Viridiplantae; Streptophyta; Magnoliopsida; Fabales; Fabaceae. The record is from RefSeq and is a predicted model, not a curated record.